Molecule: ribosomal RNA, 253 nt
Filed under: uncultured bacterium
Lineage: Bacteria
Description: partial 16S ribosomal RNA
Rfam family: Bacterial small subunit ribosomal RNA
Source: RNAcentral
UACGUAGGGUGCAAGCGUUGUCCGGAAUUAUUGGGCGUAAAGCGCUCGUAGGCGGUUUGUCGAGUCGGAUGUGAAAACCCGGAGCUCAACCCCGGGCCUGCAGUCGAUACGGGCGGACUUGAGUGUUGCAGGGGAGACUGGAAUUCCCGGUGUAGUGGUGAAAUGCGUAGAUAUCGGGAGGAACACCAGUGGCGAAGGCGACUACCUGGCCUGUUCUUGACGCUGAGGCGCGAAAGCUAGGGGAGCAAACGGG